Molecule: ribosomal RNA, 462 nt
Filed under: uncultured ammonia-oxidizing beta proteobacterium
Lineage: Bacteria; Pseudomonadati; Pseudomonadota; Betaproteobacteria
Description: bacterial SSU rRNA
Rfam family: Bacterial small subunit ribosomal RNA
Source: RNAcentral
AAGCAGGGGAUCGCAAGACCUUGCGCUUAUGGAGCGGCCGAUGCCUGAUUAGCUAGUUGGUGGGGUAAGGGCCUACCAAGGCGACGAUCAGUAGUUGGUCUGAGAGGACGACCAGCCACACUGGGACUGAGACACGGCCCAGACUCCUACGGGAGGCAGCAGUGGGGAAUUUUGGACAAUGGGCGAAAGCCUGAUCCAGCAAUGCCGCGUGAGUGAAGAAGGCCUUCGGGUUGUAAAGCUCUUUCAGUCGAGAAGAAAAGGUCGCGACUAAUAAUCGCGACUCAUGACGGUACCGACAGAAGAAGCACCGGCUAACUACGUGCCAGCAGCCGCGGUAAUACGUAGGGUGCGAGCGUUAAUCGGAAUUACUGGGCGUAAAGGGUGCGCAGGCGGCUUUGUAAGUCAGAUGUGAAAUCCCCGGGCUUAACCUGGGAAUUGCGUUUGAAACUACAAAGCUAGAGU